RNAcentral lists this long non-coding RNA (956 nucleotides) under Sorghum bicolor (sorghum). Its description in RNAcentral is "long non-coding RNA (SBIC_LNC014596)". The record is from RNAcentral. Lineage: Eukaryota; Viridiplantae; Streptophyta; Magnoliopsida; Poales; Poaceae.
GACCUGGGAAGUCUUGAGAUAAACUCACAUUGGAGAUAAAGAGAGAGACGUAUGAAGGUUAACAAUUUACACAAGGAAGACAUAGCUCACAAGAGAUGAUCCAUGGAGGGUGCCACAAACACAAUGCACAACCGCUAAGAAAGGAAAGCUUCUACGAGGUAAUACUGUACCAUCACUCUUCAAGUAAGGUACUUGACUAUCACUUUUAUAAGUUUCUCCUUGGUUCUAGCAUUCACAUGAAUAAAAGAGACAAACAUGUAUGAUUUACAACUCUAGAUUAACCAACCCAGUCGAUUCAAUAUGUUUAGUCCUUCCACCUUUGUGAUCCCACACUCCUAAUCAUAUGAGCUAAAAUGUUGCACACUCAAUCUUUGGAAGAUAUAAAAAACAUAAGUAUAGAUAGAUUAUCUUUCCAUUAGGUUGAGCGAUCUGAUCUGACAAAUGCUUUAAAUGCUACACUCAUGAUCUUAUUAUCCUUCAACUUUGUCUUGCUCACUAUGCUUAAGGUUAGAGAAGAACAAAUACACUUUUGGUUCUGUUGGUGUUUUCCACCAACAGGGCCCAUGCACUUGAUCUCUGCCUUGUCUCUAUGAGCAGGUACACUUCGAGCAAAAUAUGAAGGACUUUUACAACUCCUACACUCCACCAAGUGAAGAACCUAGAUCUACGAGCAUAAACACACUGGAGUAGCCCUAUUGUGGAAGUAACUACUGACCUUCUGCCGGUCAAGAGAGGCGAUCCAGGAUGCACCGUCAUCCCGAUCUCCAUCGGCAUGGUGAACUUCCCAGAAGCACUCGGCGACUUUGGCUCCAGCAUCAACAUUAUGCCCAGGGUACUGUUGACACUUGCUAACACCACUUGAAUACUAGGUUGUCAUCCCCAGCAUGACACUAGAGUGUACUAUGGUAUUUAUACGCACACAGAUAAUCCGCAAGCGCACGGAUACCGUUGAAGCU